GGCGAACGGGUGAGUAACGCGUUGGGAUAACCUGCCCCUGAACCUGGAAUAACUUCGCGAAAGCGAGGCUAAUACCGGAUAUUGUCCCAGGGACCUUGGUCCUUGUGAUGAAAGAUGACCUCUUCACGAAAGUUGUCGUUCAGAGAGGGGCCCGCGUACCAUUAGCUAGUUGGUAGGGUAAUGGCCUACCAAGGCGAGGAUGGUUAGCUGGUCUGAGAGGAUGACCAGCCACACUGGCACUGAAACACGGGCCAGACUCCUACGGGAGGCAGCAGUGAGGAAUUUUGCGCAAUAGGGGAAACCCUGACGCAGCAACGCCGCGUGAGUGAAGAAGGCCCUCGGGUCGUAAAGCUCUGUCAAGUGGGAAAAAAGCUUGCUGGUAAAUAGCCAGUAAGACUGAUGGUACCAUUGAAGGAAGCACCGGCUAACUCCGUGCCAGCAGCCGCGGUAAUACGGAGGGUGCAAGCGUUGUUCGGAAUUACUGGGCGUAAAGGGCGUGUAGGCGGUGUGGUAUGUCAGAUGUG
This 524-nucleotide ribosomal RNA is filed under the name uncultured delta proteobacterium. RNAcentral's name for it is "bacterial SSU rRNA". It matches the Rfam family "Bacterial small subunit ribosomal RNA", at positions 97 to 596 of the family's 1533-position model. The record is from RNAcentral. Lineage: Bacteria; Deltaproteobacteria.